GAUUAACGCGGCGGCGUGCAUAACACAUGCAAGUCGAACGAUGAAACUUUUUUGAUUUCUUCGGAAUGAUUAAAAGUGGAUUAGUGGCGGACGGGUGAGUAACGCGUGAGUAACCUGCCUUAGAGAAGGGGAUAGCCUUUGGAAACGAAGAAUAAUACCCUAUGAAACCAUAACCUCGCAUGAGGCCUUGGUCAAAGAUUUAUCGCUCUAAGAUGGACUUGCGUCUGAUUAGUUAGUUGGUGGGGUAACGGCCCACCAAGACAGCGAUCAGUAGCCGGCUUGAGAGAGUGUACGGCCACAUUGGGACUGAGACACGGCCCAGACUCCUACGGGAGGCAGCAGUGGGGAAUUUUGCACAAUGGGGGAAACCCUGAUGCAGCGACGCCGCGUGAUUUAGAAGGCCUUCGGGUUGUAAAAAUCUUUUCUAUGGGAAGAAAAUGACAGUACCAUAGGAAUAAGGACCGGCUAAUUACGUGCCAGCAGCCGCGGUAAUACGUAAGGUCCGAGCGUUGUCCGGAAUCAUUGGGCGUAAAGGGUACGUAGGCGGGUAAGCAAGUUAGAAGUGAAAUCCUAUAGCUCAACUAUAGUAAGCUUUUAAAACUGCUCAUCUUGAGGUAUGGAAGGGAAAGUGGAAUUCCUAGUGUAGCGGUGAAAUGCGCAGAUAUUAGGAGGAAUACCGGUGGCGAAGGCGACUUUCUGGCCAUAACCUGACGCUGAGGUACGAAAGCGUGGGUAGCAAACAGG
Molecule: ribosomal RNA, 744 nt
Filed under: uncultured Anaerococcus sp.
Lineage: Bacteria; Bacillati; Bacillota; Tissierellia; Tissierellales; Peptoniphilaceae
Description: bacterial SSU rRNA
Rfam family: Bacterial small subunit ribosomal RNA
Source: RNAcentral